CGGGGGAUAACAGCUGGAAACGGCUGCUAAUACCGCAUAAGCGCACAGAGCUGCAUGGCUCGGUGUGAAAAACUCCGGUGGUAUGGGAUGGGCCCGCGUCUGAUUAGGCAGUUGGCGGGGUAACGGCCCACCAAACCGACGAUCAGUAGCCGGCCUGAGAGGGCGACCGGCCACAUUGGGACUGAGACACGGCCCAAACUCCUACGGGAGGCAGCAGUGGGGAAUAUUGCACAAUGGGGGAAACCCUGAUGCAGCGACGCCGCGUGAGCGAAGAAGUAUUUCGGUAUGUAAAGCUCUAUCAGCAGGGAAGAUAAUGACGGUACCUGACUAAGAAGCCCCGGCUAACUACGUGCCAGCAGCCGCGGUAAUACGUAGGGGGCAAGCGUUAUCCGGAUUUACUGGGUGUAAAGGGAGCGUAGACGGCAAGGCAAGUCUGAUGUGAAAACCCAGGGCUUAACCCUGGGACUGCAUUGGAAACUGUCUGGCUCGAGUGCCGGAGAGGUAAGCGGAAUUCCUAGUGUAGCGGUGAAAUGCGUAGAUAUUAGGAAGAACACCAGUGGCGAAGGCGGCUUACUGGACGGUAACUGACGUUGAGGCUCGAAAGCGUGGG
Molecule: ribosomal RNA, 610 nt
Filed under: uncultured bacterium
Lineage: Bacteria
Description: bacterial SSU rRNA
Rfam family: Bacterial small subunit ribosomal RNA
Source: RNAcentral